This is a long non-coding RNA of Dreissena polymorpha, 1038 nucleotides long. RefSeq lists it as uncharacterized. The transcript is spliced from 2 exons. The record is from RefSeq and is a predicted model, not a curated record. NCBI's taxonomy places the organism in Eukaryota, Metazoa, Mollusca, Bivalvia, Myida, Dreissenidae.
UCAUUUUUCCUGAAUGAAUUUACAUAUUAACACCAUAUGCACAAUUAAAGGAUUGAUCUUAUACAAGCCAUCGGCAUCUAUGUAAUAAUUGCAAUUAUAAACAGCUCAGGACUUAAACACCUUAAAAAAAACUGUUUGUAGUGCAAACCUAGUAAAAUAAAUAUUGAACAAGCACUCAUUCAUUAUUAAAUACCAACUUCUGAAUUAUGGAUAAUAAAUUGUAUAUGGUUGUGAUUGAAGUUAUUUUCAUUUUAAAUAGCAUAAAUUGUUGAUUAUAAUCAACAGGCAUCGAUAUUGUAAAUCAGGUGCAUUAAUGCAGUGUUGUUUUUAUGUCCCCCACUAUAGUAGUGGGGGACAUAUUGUUUUUGCCCUGUCUGUCUGUUGGUCUGUUUGCGCCAACUUUAACAUUUUGCAAUAACUUUUGCUAUAUUGAAGAUAGCAACUUCAUAUUUGGCAUGCAUGUGUAUCUCAUGAAGCUGCACAUUUUGAGUGGUGAAAGGUCAAGGUCAAGGUCAUCCUUCAAGGUCAGAGGUCAAUUAUAUGUGGCCAAAAUUGCUCAUUUUAUGAAUACUUUUGCAAUAUUGAAGAUAGCAACUUGAUAUUUGGCAUGCAUGUGCAUCUCAUGGAGCUGCUCAUUUUGAGUGGUGAAAGGUAAAGGUCAAGGCCAUCCUUCAAGGUCAGAGGUCAAAUAUAUGUGGCCCAAAUCGCUUAUUUUAUGAAAACUUUUGCAAUAUUGAAGAUAGCAACUUGAUAUUUGGCAUGUAUGUGUAUCUCAUGGAGCUGCACAUUUUAAGUGGUGAAAGGUCAAGGUCAUCCUUCACAAGGUCAAGGUCAUCCUACAAUGUCAAACAUCAUAUAAGGGGACAUUGUGUUUCACAAACGCAUCUUGUUAUUUCAGAAAUUGUUGGUAUCUUAAUCAAAUUAUAUCCUUUCCAGAACAUUAUAAUAAUGAAACUAUUAAACAGAAAUGCUCACAAAUACCUGUUGAAACAAGUUUGUAUUUGUUUUUGUGGAGAAAUUAAAUGCUUUUGCCUGCCU